CCGCACAAGCGGCGGAGCAUGCGGAUUAAUUCGAUGCAACGCGAAGAACCUUACCAAGGCUUGACAUAUACGAGAACGGGCCAGAAAUGGUCAACUCUUUGGACACUCGUAAACAGGUGGUGCAUGGUUGUCGUCAGCUCGUGUCGUGAGAUGUUGGGUUAAGUCCCGCAACGAGCGCAACCCUCGUUCUAUGUUGCCAGCACGUAAUGGUGGGAACUCAUGGGAUACUGCCGGGGUCAACUCGGAGGAAGGUGGGGAUGACGUCAAAUCAUCAUGCCCCUUAUGUCUUGGGCUUCACGCAUGCUACAAUGGCCGGUACAAAGGGCUGCAAUACCGUGAGGUGGAGCGAAUCCCAAAAAGCCGGUCCCAGUUCGGAUUGAGGUCUGCAACUCGACCUCAUGAAGUCGGAGUCGCUAGUAAUCGCAGAUCAGCAACGCUGCGGUGAAUACGUUCCCGGGUCUUGUACACACCGCCCGUCAAGUCAUGAAAGUCGGU
This 495-nucleotide ribosomal RNA is filed under the name Microbacterium sp. RNAcentral describes it as "bacterial SSU rRNA". It matches the Rfam family "Bacterial small subunit ribosomal RNA", at positions 921 to 1415 of the family's 1533-position model. Lineage: Bacteria; Bacillati; Actinomycetota; Actinomycetes; Micrococcales; Microbacteriaceae. The record is from RNAcentral.